Molecule: microRNA, 25 nt
Filed under: Ovis aries (sheep)
Lineage: Eukaryota; Metazoa; Chordata; Mammalia; Artiodactyla; Bovidae
Description: miRNA 27-i
Source: RNAcentral
GUGAAAAGAGCACCUGCUGAGACGC